Molecule: ribosomal RNA, 427 nt
Filed under: uncultured bacterium
Lineage: Bacteria
Description: partial 16S ribosomal RNA
Rfam family: Bacterial small subunit ribosomal RNA
Source: RNAcentral
UGGGGAAUAUUGGACAAUGGGCGAAAGCCUGAUCCAGCCAUGCCGCGUGUGUGAAGAAGGCCUUCGGAUUGUAAAGCACUUUAAGUUGGGAGGAAGGGCAUUAACCUAAUACGUUAGUGUUUUGACGUUACCGACAGAAUAAGCACCGGCUAACUCUGUGCCAGCAGCCGCGGUAAUACAGAGGGUGCAAGCGUUAAUCGGAAUUACUGGGCGUAAAGCGCGCGUAGGUGGUUUGUUAAGUUGGAUGUGAAAUCCCCGGGCUCAACCUGGGAACUGCAUUCAAAACUGACUGACUAGAGUAUGGUAGAGGGUGGUGGAAUUUCCUGUGUAGCGGUGAAAUGCGUAGAUAUAGGAAGGAACACCAGUGGCGAAGGCGACCACCUGGACUAAUACUGACACUGAGGUGCGAAAGCGUGGGGAGCAAACA